Long non-coding RNA from Corvus hawaiiensis (hawaiian crow), 1628 nucleotides. RefSeq lists it as uncharacterized. The transcript is spliced from 4 exons. The record is from RefSeq and is a predicted model, not a curated record. Lineage: Eukaryota; Metazoa; Chordata; Aves; Passeriformes; Corvidae.
GCGGGUUCUGGUUCUGGUUCUGGUUCUGGUGGGGGAGUGACCUCCCGGCGAGGGAGUGACCGGCCCCCGGCGGACUGACAGAGCCCCGGUGAAGGAGUGGCCCCGGGCGUGUGGGAUAAAGUCUCAAUGUGUGUAUCAAAUCAAAAGCUGGCUUUACUUUUAGAUGAUGGAUACAGAUCUAUGUUAUGGCUACUGGACAGCAGGAGAUAGAAAAGAGGAGGCCUCCAGUAGGGAACUCCCACAAGCCAGAGGCAGAGCAGCGAUUGUCCUGGAGCCGCCAGUUCCCCAACCAAAGUUCCAAGAAUGAUGUGGCAGUACGAGAGAAGAAGACUUUUGGUGUGGUGCUGGAAAAAAUGCUCCAGCAGCAACGGCAGAUGUUCCCAUCUGCAGGGCACUUAGAGCCCUCAGCAAUGGAGAAGAAGGAUGAGGAUGAAUUCCACACGUCGGAUACUCCUGGCAGGAGACUUGACCAUACCUGGUGACUCUGUGAGAGCUGCAGGACUGGAGACGGAGGAAGCCCUUUGGACAGGACUUGCUGCUCCCUCAGAGCUGCGGCUCUCAGCAGAACCGGCUCAUUGCUGAGGAUGCACCUGGCCAGGAAGAGCCUUGCAGAGGAAUAGGAGGCCAGCUCAUUGCAGUAAGGGAAUGGCUGACGGAUGUUUCCCAGCAGCAACUUUCCUGGAGGUGCCAGUUCCAGUCCGUGACUCGCAGGAUGCUGUGGCGCUGCCAUAGGAGAAGGCCUUUGGCAUGGUGCUAGAGAAGAUCCUCGAGCAGCAAAGGCAGGUGUUGGCAGCUCCAGGGAAUUCCCUGACGUCAGCAGUGGAGGAGCAGGAUGAGGAAGAUCUCCACACUUGGGAUCCUUCUGGCAAGAGCCUCCAUCCCUGCCAGAGCCUCGGUGAGAGCUGCCGGAGCGCAGACGGAGGAAGGCCUUUGGACAGGUGCAAGACAGGAGUCCCUCCUCCAUCACAGCCACGGCAAUCAUCCGAACCUGCUUGUGGCUGAGGAUGCAGAUGGCCAGGAAAGGCCUGGAAAUAUAUUUGGAGCAAGCCGUGUCCAAGAAGAUUUUCCUGGAGAAAAGCAUGCUUGCAGCAAGUGUCUUGGAGCUGCCAGUUGCCAGUCCAUGACUCCAAGGAUGCUGCGGCACUGCCAAAGGUGAAGAGUCUCAGAGAGUUGCCAAACAAGAUCCUCCAGCAGGAAAGGCAGAUGUUGGCAGCUCCAGGGAAUUCCCUGAUGUCAGCAGUGGAGGAGCAGGAUGAGGAAGAUCUCCUCACUUGGGAUCCUUCUGGCAAUAGCCUCCAUCCCUACCUGUCCUGGAUUGUAAUGUAUACUGUUACUAUCCCCAUGAGCUGUUGGAACCAGGUGGGGUUGUGUUUCCUCGUGUCUUCCCCCGGUUUAUCUUUCUGAUAAUGGCCCAUCAUUGCCCUGCCGCAUGACUCAGGGAUAACUCUCCCUGGAGUAUCUUUUGCAAUGAGCCCAUCAACACCUGGCCUCCUGACUCAUCAUCCUAUUGUGAGAUCCUCCACCUAGAGGGACCAAGUGUUCCAUCCUAGAUACAAUCUGAGAUUCUGAACAACAGAGAUAAUCUUUCCACUGGAUUUCCAGAGGACAGGAGCUACAUAGCCACCACU